UGAGGAAUAUUGGUCAAUGGGCGAGAGCCUGAACCAGCCAAGUAGCGUGCAGGAUGACGGCCCUAUGGGUUGUAAACUGCUUUUAUAUGGGAAUAAAGUGAGGGACGUGUCCCUUAUUGCAUGUACCAUACGAAUAAGGACCGGCUAAUUCCGUGCCAGCAGCCGCGGUAAUACGGAAGGUUCGGGCGUUAUCAGGAUUUAUUGGGUUUAAAGGGAGCGUAGGCCGUUUGGUAAGCGUGUUGUGAAAUGUAGGAGCUCAACUUCUAGAUUGCAGCGCGAACUGUCAGACUUGAGUGCGCACAACGUAGGCGGAAUUCAUGGUGUAGCGGUGAAAUGCUUAGAUAUCAUGAAGAACUCCGAUUGCGAAGGCAGCUUACGGGAGCGCAACUGACGCUGAAGCUCGAAGGUGCGGGUAUCGAACAGG
Molecule: ribosomal RNA, 424 nt
Filed under: Verrucomicrobiota bacterium
Lineage: Bacteria; Pseudomonadati; Verrucomicrobiota
Description: Verrucomicrobia bacterium partial 16S ribosomal RNA
Rfam family: Bacterial small subunit ribosomal RNA
Source: RNAcentral